This 542-nucleotide ribosomal RNA is filed under the name uncultured Nocardioides sp. RNAcentral describes it as "bacterial SSU rRNA". It matches the Rfam family "Bacterial small subunit ribosomal RNA", at positions 355 to 897 of the family's 1533-position model. Lineage: Bacteria; Bacillati; Actinomycetota; Actinomycetes; Propionibacteriales; Nocardioidaceae. The record is from RNAcentral.
UGGGGAAUAUUGGACAAUGGGCGGAAGCCUGAUCCAGCAACGCCGCGUGAGGGAUGACGGCCUUCGGGUUGUAAACCUCUUUCAGCACAGACGAAGCGCCCGUUGUGGGUGGUGACGGUAUGUGCAGAAGAAGCACCGGCCAACUACGUGCCAGCAGCCGCGGUAAUACGUAGGGUGCGAGCGUUGUCCGGAAUUAUUGGGCGUAAAGGGCUCGUAGGCGGUUUGUCGCGUCGGGAGUGAAAUCCACUGGCUUAACUGGUGGCUUGCUUUCGAUACGGGCAGACUGGAGGCAUGCAGGGGAGAACGGAAUUCCUGGUGUAGCGGUGAAAUGCGCAGAUAUCAGGAGGAACACCGGUGGCGAAGGCGGUUCUCUGGGCAUGUCCUGACGCUGAGGAGCGAAAGUGUGGGGAGCGAACAGGAUUAGAUACCCUGGUAGUCCACACCGUAAACGUUGGGCGCUAGGUGUGGGAUCCAUUCCACGGGUUCCGUGCCGCAGCUAACGCAUUAAGCGCCCCGCCUGGGGAGUACGGCCGCAAGGCUAA